This 22-nucleotide microRNA is filed under the name Citrus sinensis (sweet orange). RNAcentral describes it as "csi-miR12110-3p". The record is from miRBase by way of RNAcentral. Lineage: Eukaryota; Viridiplantae; Streptophyta; Magnoliopsida; Sapindales; Rutaceae.
CCCGAGUCACAGCUCCCUGGAC